Molecule: long non-coding RNA, 2605 nt
Organism: Manis javanica (Malayan pangolin)
Lineage: Eukaryota; Metazoa; Chordata; Mammalia; Pholidota; Manidae
Source: RefSeq, a predicted model, not a curated record
CUAGUUCGUCCCGCCGGCGCGGAGGCCAGGCCCCGUCGGCUGCUGGGGCCUCGCUUUCGGAACGGGGAAAGGUCGCGAGGGGGCGGCUCCGCGGUCGCCACGUCCACCCUUGCCCGCGCGGGGGCGCCGCCGCUGUUCUCGUGCUGGGCCCCGGGGGAGCUGCAGGGGGCGCCCGCGCAGGAGCACGCCUCGCACCGCCGCGGUUCCCCCUUGGCCCGCACGGGGUUUGCUGGGAGAGUGAGCGUGCUCUGUGGGCCGUGGGUUUGAGAGGCGCCCCCGACGUGACUGAUUUAACCAGCAGGGGCCGGGCUGAGGCAGCCGUGGCUGCAGGUUAAGCACAGCCACGGCGCGCGUGCCCGGUGCUGUCACCCGCUGUACUUCCCGUUCGCGCAGCCAGAGCAGCGGCCCGGGCGCGCGGAGGCGCGGCUGGCGGAGGCGGUGUCCGCGCCAGAUGACGCCGGCAGGGUUUCUCUUCACGCAGGGACACAUCCCUUGGUGUCCCCUUGGUGCUGAGAAAGCCAAAAUGUGUACGCCAGAGGCUGUGAAGUGGAAAGGACGCCGCGCAGGCGUGAAGACCAAACCAGCUCUGUGGCCCCGGGGAGAAAAAAGGAAUAUUUGGGGCUGAGUCUUGGAGGAGUGGGGACUGGCCAGUGCAGGAAAGUCCGGGCCAAGAGAACAGCGCGUACCAACGCCACAACAGGGUGAAACCAGCCUCACGACAAGUACUUGUGAUAUAUCCUCGUGGUUGGAAGUGUGGGUCACAAGUUAUUAUGGAAAUGCUCGCUGACAAAACAGCCCUUGGUGUGAGUCACUCGGGUGGUUUAACUAGAGGCCAGGAACCCUCCUGGGAAUGGUUUGGAGGAUAAAGUUUCAGUGAACUCAUUCUGGAGUUAAAAGACACCAGCUAGUUCAAUCCUACAAAGUUUACAAGAACUGGGAUUUUCCAAAUAGAACAAUACAACGACACCACUUCUCUCCCAAGGUCAGCAGGGUUUGGCCUCAUUUCAUCUUAAGAGCUUGUUCCCUCUGUUCUCCAAUGUUUGACAGAGGCAGAAAAUCAAGCUAAGUCUAAAGCCACAAUGCAGCUAAAAAAGAAUGAUCAACUUCCUAAAAGACUUUGUUGAUUAUGUUUUCCUAUCAUGUACCUUCACAGGGAAAAGAAAAAUCAACACAGUAUAAAUAUUAAUUCUGGACACACAGUAUUCUUGUGGCCAACAGAGUAGCUUAAUUAAACCACUGCCUUGAAUAGUUUGUGCUGAAUACUUGCCUGAGCCUUUUGUUGUCUUGGUGUAUUUGAAAAAGAGAUGCUUUUAAAUGGAGUUGCAGUGUUUUCAGAUACUCCUACUCUGACCACAAUACUGUAUUUCAGGUCCCCCAUUAAUUUGAGGAAAAAUUGCAGUAUGUAUUUUAAAACACUUCCUCUCCGUCAUUAGUUUUUUAAGGAUCUGCCAAAUUUCCUAUCACCAAAACAAACCUCUGGUUUAACCUAUCAACUCUUAAGUUUCUACACUCUCAAGAGACCAAAGUCUCUCUUUUCUCUUUCAAUGACCCACAUUGCGGGCCAUGGAACAGGUCAUUUUGAGAGAGCAUCCUGUGCCAGUUAACCAUGACGAUAACCAGACAAUGAUGAGGUUAGCUACUACCUUUAACAAAUGAAUAUUCCUUUGUUCCAACAAUAGCAUAAUCAAAGUUUUUUAAAAAAGAUUUCUUGAUUUGUUUUGGGGAUUCAAAUGCUCAUUAGUUUCAGUAUUAGAUCUUAAAUCUCUAAAAAAAAAAGACCUGUUGAAGCUUUAGACCUUUAAGGACCUGUUUCCAAUGUACAGAUUUGUAGAUAUUUGUAGAUUUGUAGGUAUUUCUAAGCCCAAAAUUUUCAUUUCUCUUGGGACCAACAGUAACAUUUAGUGUUAAACAUAAGGCCUUGGAACAGAAUUUUUAUUUGCCGGAAAGACCUGGAGCCAACCAGUCUCAGUACAGCCAUUGCUACUCCACAUUUAUUCACAACUGCUUUACAAUUCCAGUUGCGGGAAAAGGCCCUUCAUUCUUCACUGGGGUAGAAAAUUGGACACCUUUCAAUAAAUGCCAGUCAAGAAAAGGUAUAAACAUGUCAAGUUAUUUUUAACAACUUCUAAUUUAGCCAAAGUUGUAAAGGGAUAUAAGACAAGUGGCACGCCUGAUUUGGUAAGAAUGGUACUUUACCUCUGUGGUCCCCAAAACACUUAACCCAGUUUCAUCAUGAGAAAACCUCAGACAGAUCCCAAGAGAGGGACAAUCUACAAAAUACCUUACCAGUACCCUCCUCCUCAAAACUGCCAGGCAGGUCAUCAAAAAGGAGGGAAGUCUGAGAAUCUGUUAAUAGCCAGGAGGAGUUGGAGACGUGACGACUAUGUGUAAACACGGUAUCCUGGGUAGUUCCUGGAAGAGAAAGGGACAUCUGACUAAAGAAUAGGCUUUAGUUAGUAAUAAUAAAGUUAUCGACAUUGGUUCAUUAAUUAUGACAAAUGUACCAUACUAAUGCAAGAUGUGAACUGGGGAAACUAUUCCAGUGUUUAGAGGAACUCUGUCUUUGCUAUUUUUCUGUAAAUCAUGAUCUAAUAUAACUUACUUG